GACAGCAGUCGCCACGGUAAUACGGAGGGGGCUAGCGUUGUUCGGAAUUACUGGGCGUAAAGCGCACGUAGGCUGCUUUGUAAGUUAGAGGUGAAAGCCUGGGGCUCAACCCCAGAAUUGCCUUUAAGACUGCAGAGCUAGAACGUCGGAGAGGUGAGUGGAAUUCCGAGUGUAGAGGUGAAAUUCGUAGAUAUUCGGAAGAACACCAGUGGCGAAGGCGGCUCACUGGACGACUGUUGACGCUGAGGUGCGAAAGCGUGGGGAGCAAACAGGAUUAGAUACCCCGGUAGUCCCUGUCUCUUAUAC
Molecule: ribosomal RNA, 306 nt
Filed under: uncultured bacterium
Lineage: Bacteria
Description: partial 16S ribosomal RNA
Rfam family: Bacterial small subunit ribosomal RNA
Source: RNAcentral